UACGUAGGCAGCGAGCGUUGUUCGGAGUUACUGGGCGUAAAGGGUGUGUAGGCGGUUGUUUAAGUUUGGUGUGAAAUCUCCCGGCUCAACUGGGAGGGUGCGCCGAAUACUGAAUGACUUGGAGUGUGGGAGAGGUGAGUGGAAUUCCUGGUGUAGCGGUGAAAUGCGCAGAUAUCAGGAGGAACACCGAUGGCGAAGGCAGCUCGCUGGGACGGUACUGACGCUGAGACGCGAAAGCGUGGGGAGCGAACAGG
This 254-nucleotide ribosomal RNA is filed under the name uncultured prokaryote. RNAcentral describes it as "partial 16S ribosomal RNA". It matches the Rfam family "Bacterial small subunit ribosomal RNA", at positions 524 to 776 of the family's 1533-position model. The record is from RNAcentral.